This 465-nucleotide ribosomal RNA is filed under the name Vreelandella stevensii. Its description in RNAcentral is "partial 16S ribosomal RNA". It matches the Rfam family "Bacterial small subunit ribosomal RNA", at positions 338 to 795 of the family's 1533-position model. The record is from RNAcentral. Lineage: Bacteria; Pseudomonadati; Pseudomonadota; Gammaproteobacteria; Oceanospirillales; Halomonadaceae.
CCUACGGGUGGCUGCAGUGGGGAAUAUUGGACAAUGGGCGAAAGCCUGAUCCAGCCAUGCCGCGUGUGCGAAGAAGGCCUUCGGGUUGUAAAGCACUUUCAGUGGGGAAGAAAGCCUUGGGGCUAAUACCCUCGAGGAAGGACAUCACCCACAGAAGAAGCACCGGCUAACUCCGUGCCAGCAGCCGCGGUAAUACGGAGGGUGCGAGCGUUAAUCGGAAUUACUGGACGUAAAGCGCGCGUAGGCGGUCUGAUAAGCCGGUUGUGAAAGCCCCGGGCUCAACCUGGGAACGGCAUCCGGAACUGUCAGGCUAGAGUGCAGGAGAGGAAGGUAGAAUUCCCGGUGUAGCGGUGAAAUGCGUAGAGAUCGGGAGGAAUACCAGUGGCGAAGGCGGCCUUCUGGACUGACACUGACGCUGAGGUGCGAAAGCGUGGGUAGCAAACAGGAUUAGAUACCCUAGUAGUC